This 75-nucleotide transfer RNA is filed under the name bacterium. RNAcentral describes it as "tRNA-Arg". It matches the Rfam family "tRNA". From Rfam's summary of the family: Transfer RNA (tRNA) molecules are approximately 80 nucleotides in length. The record is from RNAcentral.
GCUCUCAUAGUUCAAUGGAUAGAACAUGGGUUUCCGGAACCUAAAAUGUGGGUUCGAUUCCUGCUGAGAGCACCA